ACAACAACUCAGUGAAUAAUACUUUUAGUUAUUUGUCAGACGAGCGAAUAUGCUCUAACGCCUCUGAAUUUUUUUUUUGUAAGAUCGACUUUAUUAUCUGUCGCUCGUCUGAUGACGCUGGCUCCAUAGCGGUAGAGAAGGAUGAGAGAUCUGAUCCCACAGCGAGUUAGGGCACAGAACAUCCGAGCCGUUGGUGAGAA
Molecule: long non-coding RNA, 200 nt
Filed under: Sorghum bicolor (sorghum)
Lineage: Eukaryota; Viridiplantae; Streptophyta; Magnoliopsida; Poales; Poaceae
Description: long non-coding RNA (SBIC_LNC003220)
Source: RNAcentral